RNAcentral lists this ribosomal RNA (465 nucleotides) under uncultured bacterium. RNAcentral describes it as "partial 16S ribosomal RNA". It matches the Rfam family "Bacterial small subunit ribosomal RNA", at positions 28 to 507 of the family's 1533-position model. The record is from RNAcentral.
GACGAACGCUGGCGGCGUGCUUAACACAUGCAAGUCGAACGGAAAGGCCCUUUUGGGGGUACUCGAGUGGCGAACGGGUGAGUAACACGUGAGUAACCUGCCCCUGACUUCGGGAUAACUUCAGGAAACUGGGGCUAAUACCGGAUAGGAAUCCUUGCUGCAUGGUGGGGGUUGGAAAGCUUCGGCGGUUUUGGAUGGACUCGCGGCUUAUCAGCUUGUUGGUGGGGUAGUGGCUUACCAAGGCUUUGACGGGUAGCCGGCCUGAGAGGGCGACCGGCCACAUUGGGACUGAGAUACGGCCCAGACUCCUACGGGAGGCAGCAGUGGGGAAUAUUGCACAAUGGGCGGAAGCCUGAUGCAGCAACGCCGCGUGCGGGAUGACGGCCUUCGGGUUGUAAACCGCUUUCAGCAGGGGCGAAGCUUGUGGUGACGGUACCUGCAGAAGAAGCACCGGCUAACUACGUG